This 810-nucleotide ribosomal RNA is filed under the name uncultured bacterium. Its description in RNAcentral is "bacterial SSU rRNA". It matches the Rfam family "Bacterial small subunit ribosomal RNA", at positions 1 to 806 of the family's 1533-position model. The record is from RNAcentral.
AAUUCGCCCUUAGAGUUUGAUCCUGGCUCAGGAUGAACGCUGGCGGCGUGCCUAACACAUGCAAGUCGAGCGAUGAAAUUUCCUUCGGGAAAUGGAUUAGCGGCGGACGGGUGAGUAACACGUGGGUAACCUGCCUCAUAGUGGGGGAUAGCCUUCCGAAAGGGAGAUUAAUACCGCAUAACAUCAUUAAAUGGCAUCAUUUAGUGAUCAAAGGAUUUAUUCGCUAUGAGAUGGACCCGCGUCGCAUUAGCUAGUUGGUAAGGUAAUGGCUUACCAAGGCGACGAUGCGUAGCCGACCUGAGAGGGUGAUCGGCCACAUUGGGACUGAGACACGGCCCAGACUCCCUACGGGAGGGAGCAGUGGGGAAUAUUGCACAAUGGGGGAAACCCUGAUGCAACCACCGCCGCGUGAAGUGAUGACGGUCCUCGGAUUUGGAAAGCUCCGGUCUUUUGGGGACGAUAAUGGCGGUUCCCCAGGGAAGGAACCCCCGGGUUAAUUCGUGCCCGCAACCCCGGGAAAACCUAAGGGGGGAAGCCGUUUCCCGGAAAUAUUGGGCCCAAAAGGGAGCGUAGGCGGAUAAAUAAAGUGGGAAUUUGAAAAUACUCAGGCUCAACCUGGGGGCUGCCAUUUCCAAACUGAUUAUUAGGAGUGCCGGAGAGGAGAGUGGAAUUCCUAGUGUAGCGGUGAAAUGCGUAGAGAUUAGGAAGAACACCAGUGGCGAAGGCGACUCUCUGGACUGUAACUGACGCUGAGGCUCGAAAGCGUGGGGAGCAAACAGGAUUAGAUACCCUGGUAGUCCACGCCGUAAA